This 454-nucleotide ribosomal RNA is filed under the name uncultured Anaeromusa sp. Its description in RNAcentral is "partial 16S ribosomal RNA". It matches the Rfam family "Bacterial small subunit ribosomal RNA", at positions 86 to 518 of the family's 1533-position model. Lineage: Bacteria; Bacillati; Bacillota; Negativicutes; Selenomonadales; Sporomusaceae. The record is from RNAcentral.
UGGAUCUUAGUGGCGAACGGGUGAGUAACGCGUAGGCAAUCUGCCUUCUAGAUGGGGACAACAUCCCGAAAGGGGUGCUAAUACCGAAUGUUGUACCGUUUCCGCAUGGAGAUGAUACUAAAGGUGGCCUCUGAAUAUGCUACCGCUAGAAGAUGAGCCUGCGUCUGAUUAGCUAGUUGGAGGGGUAACGGCCCACCAAGGCUUCGAUCAGUAGCCGGUCUGAGAGGAUGAACGGCCACACUGGGACUGAGACACGGCCCAGACUCCUACGGGAGGCAGCAGUGGGGAAUCUUCCGCAAUGGACGAAAGUCUGACGGAGCAACGCCGCGUGAGUGAAGAAGGUUUUCGGAUCGUAAAGCUCUUUCGUUAGGGACGAACGUGCUCUUUGUGAAUAAUGAGGAGUAAUGACGGUACCUAAAUAAGAAGCCACGGCUAACUACGUGCCAGCAGCCGC